This is a non-coding RNA of Peromyscus maniculatus bairdii (prairie deer mouse), 750 nucleotides long. The record is from RefSeq and is a predicted model, not a curated record. Lineage: Eukaryota; Metazoa; Chordata; Mammalia; Rodentia; Cricetidae.
UCUUAGUGAGACCUGCUUCUCCAGAGAAUAUUAACACCACAUUACCACAGACCCAGCCAGCACCGUAUUGUUCUGUAUUUCAUUGCCAUGAUUGGGACCCAAGUUUUUCUGAAGGUCACCAUGGCAACUGGGCUUAAUGGUGGUGAUGGUCAUGUCACAUAAGGAGAGAAUGAACACUCUGCACCUGUGGUGCUUGUUUUCCGGAACAUCCUUUCAGAAUGGGGCAAGAGGGCUCUUAUUUUUGAUUGGCUAGGUCCUGAUAUUCUUCCCCGUGGCCAAGAGGAUACUCUGCUCUGAUUGGCUUGAGUAUGCCCACGCUCUAAGAACCCCAGAACACGGAGAUGGGACCGCCCUGACCCGCCUCUAGCUAAAGGUCUAUGCUGGGACACAGGAGCGUCUUUCCUGCUGGAAUCAGCAGCUGGUGAAGCUGAAGGGUGGACCGGCAGGCAGGAGGAUAACUGUGGCGCUUAGUCAAACGCUGAAGCAGAGAUGCUGCAUUGGCCGACGUCAAGGGAUCAAGGAUGCCAGUGGGAGCUACUGGAAGCCAGCCCCGUGAACAGCUGUAGGCUGGAGUUCCAAGUCUACGCAGUGCGCUAACAGGCACACCACACGGUGUUCUCUGAGGAAGCCACCAGUGGCCACACACCUGGACUCUGAAGCUGCCCGUCCAGAAGAUAAGGAGAGUUUCACAAGUGUGUGCAGACACUUCUGAGAUCCUCAUAAUAAAUGGAGCCGUGAUCUCAUCUCUCA